Oryzias melastigma (Indian medaka) is the source of this 630-nucleotide long non-coding RNA. RefSeq lists it as uncharacterized. The record is from RefSeq and is a predicted model, not a curated record. The transcript has 4 exons. NCBI's taxonomy places the organism in Eukaryota, Metazoa, Chordata, Actinopteri, Beloniformes, Adrianichthyidae.
CUGUCACUGGUUUGUGCUCCUGGUGUUGUCACGUUUAAGUUUAUGUUUCUGCCAACAAGUCUUGCCUCCUGCGUUAGGAUCCUUCACUACCACCCAUGACAAUUUGAACGGGGCCUUCUUUCUGUGAGCCAAGAGCGCUAACCACUACGCCACCGUGCAGCCCAUGGUUCUUCACGUCGACUCAAAUUAGAAACUGAGGCUGGAGAAGGAGCUGAAGGACGGGAGUCCAGCCUGGGUCGCAGCCAUGAAGAACCUCAAUCGAGCUGCAGGUGGAUCAGAACUCUCUGCGCUUCUGGUGAGGAACGAGCAGCUUCUGAGAAGACCUGCGUGUAGAAGAGAUAAAGCUGCUCUGACUCCUGCUGAUGCUCGACGACCUACUGCCACUGAUAAAGACCCCCACCACGCACUGGUGACCACACAGCUCCUGCAGCAGGAGGGAAGGAGGCCACAGCAUGUGUGAUUCCUAAAAACACAUUCAUUCAAGGAACAGGAGGAAGCUGACUCCAACGAGAUGCCUUCUGUCAUGUUUGAUGCUUCAGUUUCUAAUGAGCUGUGAAUGUUUGAUGCUGUAAAUGUUCUGAAAAUUCACUUUAAUUCAUUUCUGUCUUUAUAAUUUCAACAAGAAAUUGA